CCUACGGGACGCAGCAGUGAGGAAUAUUGGUCAAUGGGCGCAAGCCUGAACCAGCCAAGUCGCGUGAGGGAUGACGGUCCUAUGGAUUGUAAACCUCUUUUGUCGGGGAGCAAGGCCCGCUACGUGUGGCGGGAUCGAGAGUACCCGAAGAAAAAGCAUCGGCUAACUCCUUGCCAGCAGCCGCGGUAAUACGGAGGAUGCGAGCGUUAUCCGGAUUUAUUGGGUUUAAAGGGUGCGUAGGCGGAAGGCCAAGUCAGCGGUAAAAUCUCGGGGCUCAACCUC
RNAcentral lists this ribosomal RNA (282 nucleotides) under uncultured bacterium. RNAcentral describes it as "partial 16S ribosomal RNA". It matches the Rfam family "Bacterial small subunit ribosomal RNA", at positions 338 to 616 of the family's 1533-position model. The record is from RNAcentral.